CCUACGGGAGGCAGCAGUGGGGGAUAUUGCACAAUGGGGGAAACCCUGAUGCAGCGACGCCGCGUGGGUGAAGAAGUAUUUCGGUAUGUAAAGCCCUAUCAGCAGGGAAGAAAGAAGACGGUACCUGACUACGAAGCCCCGGCUAACUACGUGCCAGCAGCCGCGGUAAUACGUAGGGGGCGAGCGUUAUCCGGAUUCACUGGGUGUAAAGGGAGCGUAGACGGCCGUGCAAGCCAGGAGUGAAAGCCCGGGGCCCAACCCCGGGACUGCUCUUGGAACUGUGCGGCUGGAGUGCGGGAGGGGCAGGCGGAAUUCCUGGUGUAGCGGUGAAAUGCGUAGAUAUCAGGAGGAACACCGGCGGCGAAGGCGGCCUGCUGGACCGCGACUGACGUUGAGGCUCGAAAGCGUGGGGAGCGAACAGGAUUAGAUACCCCAGUAGUC
Molecule: ribosomal RNA, 441 nt
Filed under: uncultured bacterium
Lineage: Bacteria
Description: partial 16S ribosomal RNA
Rfam family: Bacterial small subunit ribosomal RNA
Source: RNAcentral